GGGGCUGAACGGUUUCGACUUCGCGCAUCGAAUCAAGGGAAGCGUGCCGGUGCAGGCAAGAGACCACCGUAAGCGUCGUUGCGACCAAAUAAGCGCCGAUUCACAUCAGCGCGACUACGCUCUCGCUGCCUAAGCGACGGCUAGUCUGUCAGACCGGGAACGCCCUCGGCCCGGACCCUGGCAUCAGCUAGAGGGAUCCACCGAUGAGUCCGGUCGCGGGACUUCUCGGGACAACCACAGCGACUGGGAUCGUCAUCUCGGCUAGUUCGCGUGACCGGGAGAUCCGAGCAGAGGCAUAGCGAACUGCGCACGGAGAAGCCUUGAGGGAAUGCCGUAGGACCCGGGUUCGAUUCCCGGCAGCUCCACC
RNAcentral lists this transfer-messenger RNA (367 nucleotides) under Mycobacterium tuberculosis. Its description in RNAcentral is "transfer-messenger RNA%2C SsrA". It matches the Rfam family "transfer-messenger RNA". From Rfam's summary of the family: Bacterial tmRNA, also known as 10Sa RNA or SsrA, is named for its dual tRNA and mRNA-like properties. The record is from RNAcentral. Lineage: Bacteria; Bacillati; Actinomycetota; Actinomycetes; Mycobacteriales; Mycobacteriaceae.